GGAGUCUGGGCCGUGUCUCAGUCCCAAUGUGGCUGAUCAUCCUCUCAGACCAGCUAGAGAUCGUCGCCUAGGUGAGCCCUUACCUCACCUACUAGCUAAUCCCAUUUGGGCACAUCUGAUAGCGCAUCGCUGCUUUCCACCCUCAGGUCUUUAUGCGGUAUUAGCAGCCGUUUCCAACUGUUCGUCCCCCUCUAUCAGGUAGCC
RNAcentral lists this ribosomal RNA (204 nucleotides) under uncultured Succinivibrio sp. Its description in RNAcentral is "partial 16S ribosomal RNA". The record is from RNAcentral. Lineage: Bacteria; Pseudomonadati; Pseudomonadota; Gammaproteobacteria; Aeromonadales; Succinivibrionaceae.